This 1389-nucleotide unclassified non-coding RNA is filed under the name Hevea brasiliensis (rubber tree). The record is from RNAcentral. Lineage: Eukaryota; Viridiplantae; Streptophyta; Magnoliopsida; Malpighiales; Euphorbiaceae.
CAUCCCUGUAUUACGUUAGAGACAACCAACCUGACAAAGCAAAGUAGCUUGUGAAGCCAAAAUGUCUAGGAAGCUUAAAUAAAUGAUAAUCAAUUGUACACUAACUUAAAUGUUACUGAUACAAGAAAAAAAAAUGCUCAUGUCAAAAUUGUAUGCUGCUAUUUGUCCUUCACUUCUGCAUUUCUCACUAUUCUUUAUUCUUUGGUGUGGUAAGCUGCUCCACGUUCAACAAUUCAAAGCCAAAAGCCAACAUCAUCCCACUAAUUUUAAGCUCCAAAAUGUGGUCAGCAGAAUCACUCAUUCAACGUUUGUAAUAACAUACAGCUUUGGGUCCACCACACAAUCACGGUUGUAAUUCACUUCUGCAGGUGUUGGCACGCCAAUAGCAGCGUUUGAACUGUGAAUGGUCAGUAACACAUAUUACAUGGGUGAGUAAACCAUCUGCAGGGGAGAAAAAACCACAGCAGAGAUAGCUAAUGAAUGAUCUCAAGUGAGGAGACAUAACAAAGAUUUUGCAUGCAAUAUCUUUUCAGUGGCGCCAUGGAGAUCCACCAAUAUUAUAGCUAAACCCAUUUUCAUCAUCUCGGUUAUGUCUCCAACGCUGUUUCUUUCUUCCUCUUUUCGACCCAUUUUCUUCAUGACUGAUCUUCCCCACAUCACCAUUUUCUUUUAUCUUACUAAACUUGUCUUUGGAAGAAGAUUUCCUUUUCUUCCCAGAUGAUUGUGCAUCACCAUCUCCAGCUACUCCACCUCCCCGUGGCAGUUCUUCAUCAUCUAACAACCAGUUACCCAAAAUCUCCUGGUGAUCAUCAUGAUGUGACUGUAUUGGCUCCCCAGCUCCCGGCAGCAGGGCAUCGAAAGUCACCUCCCCAUUGCAUCCUCCUUUCCGCUCCAGCAAAACAGGGUCUGGUCUAAUUAUGGUGCCAAGAAUGCUCCUGUUCGGGCCUAAGCUUAAGAUGGUCUUUGGAUUUGUCAAUGUUGAAAAUGCCAUUGAAAAGGCUGACCUAAUCUGGAAGUAAUUAAAUGAGUUCUUCCCAAUGUCAUUGUCUGGUGCCUGUGGAUCUUCAAUGGCGAUGAGAAAUGGCCGUCCCUUGUUUAUAAACCCUUUCCUACGCUUUGAAAAGAAAGUGCCUGCCCCAUUGCAAGAUACACCAACAUCUAUGGUGUUCAAUUUGCGCCCGUAAAAGUCAAAAAAAUGUAUCAGGAGGACUCCCAAAUUAUCUUCUAAAGAAGAUUGGCACUCUCUGAGAUUCUUUAACAUUGCCAUGAGCAUCGCAAGUAGAGCAUAAGAACCUAUGCCGCCAGAGUAUACCUCAUUGAGUUCUCUUUGUUGUAAAAACAAUUUCAAGAUUAAACAUAAUGGCCGUAGGCAAGGCCAUUUGGAUACUG